Molecule: transfer RNA, 72 nt
Filed under: Sphaerodactylus townsendi
Lineage: Eukaryota; Metazoa; Chordata; Lepidosauria; Squamata; Sphaerodactylidae
Description: tRNA-Ala
Rfam family: tRNA
About the family: Transfer RNA (tRNA) molecules are approximately 80 nucleotides in length. Their secondary structure includes four short double-helical elements and three loops (D, anti-codon, and T loops).
Source: RNAcentral
AGUAGCUGUGGCUUAGUGGUAGAGCAUCUAUUUUGCAUGCAGAAGUCCCAGGUUCACUCCCUGGUACCUCUA